ACGGGAGGCAGCAGUGGGGAAUAUUGCACAAUGGGGGAAACCCUGAUGCAGCGACGCCGCGUGAGUGAAGAAGUAUUUCGGUAUGUAAAGCUCUAUCAGCAGGGAAGAUAAUGACGGUACCUGACUAAGAAGCACCGGCUAAAUACGUGCCAGCAGCCGCGGUACUACGUAUGGUGCAAGCGUUAUCCGGAUUUACUGGGUGUAAAGGGAGCGUAGACGGCAAUGCAAGUCUGAUGUGAAAUCUCCGGGCUCAACCCGGAAACUGCAUUGGAAACUGUAUAGCUAGAGUGCAGGAGAGGUAAGCGGAAUUCCUAGUGUAGCGGUGAAAUGCGUAGAUAUUAGGAGGAACACCAGUGGCGAAGGCGGCUUACUGGACUGUAACUGACGUUGAGGCUCGAAAGCGUGGGGAGCAAACAGGAUUAGAUACCCUGGUA
Molecule: ribosomal RNA, 434 nt
Filed under: uncultured Ruminococcus sp.
Lineage: Bacteria; Bacillati; Bacillota; Clostridia; Eubacteriales; Oscillospiraceae
Description: partial 16S ribosomal RNA
Rfam family: Bacterial small subunit ribosomal RNA
Source: RNAcentral